AAACAUGUUAGGGGGGCAUUGCUUGGUGAGCAGCUUGUACCUCUCCCAGGCUUCAUAGAAGGUCUCACCAUCUUUAUGCAUGAAGGUCUGAACCUCCACCCUUAGCUU
This is a small nucleolar RNA of Arachis stenosperma, 108 nucleotides long. NCBI's taxonomy places the organism in Eukaryota, Viridiplantae, Streptophyta, Magnoliopsida, Fabales, Fabaceae. The record is from RefSeq and is a predicted model, not a curated record.